CCUACGGGGGGCUGCAGUGAGGAAUAUUGGUCAAUGGCCGGAAGCCUGAACCAGCCAUGCCGCGUGAAGGUCAGUGCCCUAUGGGCGUUAAACUUCUUUUGUGCGGGAGCAAUAAUGGUCACGUGUGGCCAGACGAGAGUACCGUACGAAUAAGCAUCGGCUAACUCCGUGCCAGCAGCCGCGGUAAUACGGGGGAUGCAAGCGUUAUCCGGAUUUAUUGGGGUUAAAGGGGGUGUAGGCUGUGAGGUAAGUCAGCGGUGAAAUGCCCCCGCUCAACGGGGUGAAGUGCAAUUGAUACUGCCUUGCUGGAAUGCGGAUGCCGUGGGAGGAAUGUGUGGUGUAGCGGUGAAAUGCAUAGAUAUCACACAGAACACCGAUUGCGAAGGCAUCUCACGAAUCCGCGAUUGACGCUGAUGCACGAAAGCGUGGGUAUCAAACAGGAUUAGAUACCCCUGUAGUC
This 460-nucleotide ribosomal RNA is filed under the name uncultured bacterium. RNAcentral describes it as "partial 16S ribosomal RNA". It matches the Rfam family "Bacterial small subunit ribosomal RNA", at positions 338 to 795 of the family's 1533-position model. The record is from RNAcentral.